RNAcentral lists this ribosomal RNA (245 nucleotides) under Klebsiella pneumoniae. Its description in RNAcentral is "partial 16S ribosomal RNA". It matches the Rfam family "Bacterial small subunit ribosomal RNA", at positions 1299 to 1533 of the family's 1533-position model. RNAcentral also lists the same sequence under 2 other names. The record is from RNAcentral. Lineage: Bacteria; Pseudomonadati; Pseudomonadota; Gammaproteobacteria; Enterobacterales; Enterobacteriaceae.
UGGAGUCUGCAACUCGACUCCAUGAAGUCGGAAUCGCUAGUAAUCGUAGAUCAGAAUGCUACGGUGAAUACGUUCCCGGGCCUUGUACACACCGCCCGUCACACCAUGGGAGUGGGUUGCAAAAGAAGUAGGUAGCUUAACCUUCGGGAGGGCGCUUACCACUUUGUGAUUCAUGACUGGGGUGAAGUCGUAACAAGGUAACCGUAGGGGAACCUGCGGUUGGAUCACCUCCUUACCUUAAAGAA